Molecule: ribosomal RNA, 1524 nt
Filed under: Triticum aestivum (bread wheat)
Lineage: Eukaryota; Viridiplantae; Streptophyta; Magnoliopsida; Poales; Poaceae
Description: partial small subunit ribosomal RNA
Source: RNAcentral
AUGGAGGGGCUAUUUUCUGCGACUUUCGGCGAACUUAUCAGCAGAUGCAUAUCCUUUCUGAUCAACAAAUACUCCACACCGACAUCCUUGUCCAAGGGGGAGAUUCUACAGCACCUAGACCGGAUGUUGCUCCGGGUUCUUAUCACCGUGGAAGAAGCCGAGGGCAGGAGCAUCACGAAUCAGGCAAUGCUUCGGCAACUCAACAGGCUGAGACAAGAUAUGUGCAGAGGCUAUUACUUGCUUGACAAAUUCAGGUACCUUGCACAUGAAGAAGGGAAGGCCAAAGAUCUGGAAGCGAGCCACCACUCCUUUGCCCUGCGUAUAUCCAAUCCAGGCAAGCGUGCUUCCCUGUCUGCUAGCAGCACACAUGGCGAAAAGGAGUUAAGAAAGAUGCUUGAGAAUAUCGAAAACGUUGUCACUGGUAUGCAUGAGUUUGUUGCUUUUCUCAAUAACUACCCUCCAAUUUGUCGUCUUCAACCAUACAACAUGCACCUGGUGAUGGAAACAUGCAUGUUUGGUCGCCAAGUAGAAGUGCAGCGAAUCAUCAGUUUCUUGUUGCAGCGUGAGCCUCCUGGUGAACACAGUCUGGGUGUGGGUAUCCUGCCAAUUGUUGGCCCUGGAAAAGUUGGCAAGAGCACACUUGUUGAGCAUGUUUGCUGCGACAUAAGGGUGCGUGAUCACUUUACUCAAAUUGUGCUCGUUUGUGGAAACAAAUUUAUUCAAGGAGAGCUCUGCACCCUGAGAGAUGGAGGCAUAAUUAAGCAUCAAAAUCAAAAUGGUAUUGCGAGUGAAGAAAAAAUACUUGUUGUGAUUGAGUUGAAUGGGGAAGUUGAUGAGGGGGCGUGGAGAAAGCUUUACUCUGCUUCUACAAGCUUAAUUCCGAGAGGCAGUAAAAUUAUAAUCACGAGCCGAGCGGAGAACAUCACCAAAUUUGGAAAUACACAAGCUCUCUGGUUAAACUUUUUGCCUCGAGAAGCGAGCUGGUACUUCUUCAAGGUGCUCGCGUUUGGAAGCGCAGAUCCCGAAGAGCACCCAAAGCUAGCAUCCAUAGCAAUGGAGAUAUUCGAGGGGUACUUUGGUCUAGAAAUAUUUAAUGACUACACUGGUCCUUUCACAAAUCCAAAACUUAUUGCUGGGUUUCUAAGAGCCAAUGUUAACAUACAACACUGGCGAAGGGUUCUUACAUGUGUUAGGGGGACUAGGCAGAGAAAUGCACUUCAAUUUACUACAACUUCAAGUGGUACUCGGGGGAAGAACCAAUAUCUUUAUAUUCAACGAAUAUCUAAACUCAGUCAGGAUUGUGUGGUUAGUCGUGUUCGGGUACAGCUUGCUCAAGAAGACAUUCCCAAAAUCACGAUGGAUGAAGUCCUUUAUGGAAGCGCGACACCAAAAGGAAGAUUUGAUGCUGUGGUGUGGAAAUCUCACUUGCCGCCACAUUACACUUAUGUAACUAGCUGUGAGAUUUGCGAAUCAAAACUGGCUAACAGGAGCAAGAGUUGCCAGAAGAGGAAGAGUUCGUGUUGA